CUUUCCCCUUUGUGCCCGUGUUUACGGUGGUUACAGUGUCGUUUUGUCCUGGUGUCGGUGUGUUGUCGGCGCUACUUAGUGGAUUUAAUGACUGUUUGCCUCUCAGGUACGAUUUCCUGUACCCUAUUGUGCCAUUGGUGGGCAUGAUUAAUAGAUCUGUGCCUGCACAUUUUCUAUUUGGCAUGAUACCUUGACGUUUGUUUUGCGUAGCGUCUGGACCAAUCAGACUGUAACCAGGAGUGAAUGACGAGAGGCGAGUGGAUCCAUUUGCGAGCUUUUAUUCAUCAAACGAGACAGAGACAUGGUCGUACAGGCAGGGUCUAACAACAGUAACAAGAGUGUCAGAGGCGAGACGAGAGAACAGUCCUUAAUAACGAGCGAUCUCUCUUCACUCUCUUCUUCACUCUCUUCACUCGUCUGCAACAUCUUCCGAUUGCUGCCCGUGUGGAGGAACCCACGGGGAGCCUGAGCCGGCACCGGGUGUGCCUGGCGAGCCCGACAGGCCCAACAUACAGAGCUGUGGCUCUCGACCACAAAGAGCCAGACAGUUCCACUUAACCCUGGAAUUCAUCUUCAUGACUCGCCUCAGUCAGUCAGUGGUUCUUGGAGAACCUAAGAAGAUGAGCUAAAACUCUUCAGGACUUCCCUAAGCGUCCGCCAGGCCUUGCGGCCUUGUCUUUCCAUUCCCCAAAGAUCACAGGACUUCAGCUGGGUCCCUCUCAGCUCUUGGUUCUUCUUCACAUUUCACAUGGGAAGAAACUCCCAGUCACCAUCGAGUCAGAACAUCUUUGGAGUUCAUCACUCUUCCGA
Molecule: long non-coding RNA, 810 nt
Organism: Labeo rohita (rohu)
Lineage: Eukaryota; Metazoa; Chordata; Actinopteri; Cypriniformes; Cyprinidae
Exons: 4
Source: RefSeq, a predicted model, not a curated record